GGAUAAAAGCUACCCCGGGGAUAACAGGCUUAUCUCCCCCAAGAGUUCACAUCGACGGGGAGGUUUGGCACCUCGAUGUCGGCUCAUCGCAUCCUGGGGCUGUAGUCGGUCCCAAGGGUUGGGCUGUUCGCCCAUUAAAGCGGUACGCGAGCUGGGUUCAGAACGUCGUGAGACAGUUCGGUCCCUAUCCGUCGUGGGCGUAGGAAAUUUGAGAGGAGCUGUCCUUAGUACGAGAGGACCGGGAUGGACAUACCUCUGGUGUACCAGUUGUCGUGCCAACGGCAUAGCUGGGUAGCUAUGUGUGGACGGGAUAAGUGCUGAAAGCAUCUAAGCAUGAAGCCCCCCUCAAGAUGAGAUUUCCCAACUUCGGUUAUAAGAUCCCUCAAAGAUGAUGAGGUUAAUAGGUUCGAGGUGGAAGCAUGGUGACAUGUGGAGCUGACGAAUACUAAUCGAUCGAAGACUUAAUCAAAUU
Molecule: ribosomal RNA, 472 nt
Filed under: Staphylococcus aureus
Lineage: Bacteria; Bacillati; Bacillota; Bacilli; Caryophanales; Staphylococcaceae
Description: partial 23S ribosomal RNA
Rfam family: Bacterial large subunit ribosomal RNA
Source: RNAcentral